Molecule: ribosomal RNA, 207 nt
Filed under: uncultured bacterium
Lineage: Bacteria
Description: partial 16S ribosomal RNA
Rfam family: Bacterial small subunit ribosomal RNA
Source: RNAcentral
UGCGUAGGCGGUUUGACAAGUCUGAUGUGAAAUCUAUGGGCUCAACCCAUAGUCUGCAUCGGAAACUGUCGGGCUUGAGUAUGGGAGAGGUGAGUGGAAUUUCCGGUGUAGCGGUGAAAUGCGUAGAUAUCGGAAGGAACACCUGUGGCGAAAGCGGCUCACUGGACCAUUACUGACGCUGAGGCACGAAAGCUAGGGGAGCAAACA